This is a long non-coding RNA of Mus musculus (house mouse), 897 nucleotides long. RefSeq annotates it as predicted gene, 35444. The record is from RefSeq and is a predicted model, not a curated record. The transcript is spliced from 3 exons. Lineage: Eukaryota; Metazoa; Chordata; Mammalia; Rodentia; Muridae.
AACAUGUGGCCCAUUGGCCAAUGAGGGAAUUGUUUCCCUGGGGUCUCCCAAAUUAACUUCUCAGCUUAGAGUUCACUACUUUGCGUACCCAUCCUCAAGUCAGCACCCUCAGCUUCUCAGGGAAUGAAUCCUUUAUGUAGGGACCAGGAUCUUGAGCUUUUAAGCAAUAUUUGAGAAAAUGAAGCAUUGGAUAUCGUGUAUUAGAGAUGCUGCUAAAUGCUUAGUGCAGUUAUGUGAAGGCCAUUUUACUACUGUGAUGACUAAUGUUGUAGGUUGACUUGAUUGUGUUAAGAGAGGCCAUGAAUGCACACUGGGUGUGUCUGUGAGGGAAUGAAGGACAUGUACUCCCACCAGCGUGAGUGGGCAGCAUCACAUCUGUGAAGUCUGAGUAGAACAAAGGGAUUCAAGAAGGGCACUUUGCUCUUUCAUUUGUGAGCUGGGACAUUUGGACAUGUGGGCUUCUGGUUCUUUAGCAGUGUGUUUAUAUCCCCCAUGCCCUGUCCAUUGGUUCUCAGACUCUGCUUUCUGAUGACAUAUUGCAGUACUGGGCAUCUCUGACUCUUCACUCCUGUGAAACUUUUACCGUGCACAUCUCCUACUAACUCUUUCUCUGGUCAACCCUGACUUCAUAGCUUCCCAUUUGACUUCAAACCAUUCAUGUUCAAGACGCAAGAGCAGGAAAGUCUUUGCUUCCAAGAAGCUCUUUGACUACAGACUGCAUCUUUGGCUUGCAGAAGCCAGUUCACUUCGGCAGAGUAUGCCAGCCUGAUCUUCUGAGAACAACAGGUAAGGACAGAAAUGAAGAUCCCAGUCCUUGCAAAUAUCUGCUGGGGACUGUGAGGCUCUCACAUACUAGCUGAUUUGGAUAUACCAAGAAUAAAACUUGCCUGCUUUUUA